Long non-coding RNA from Anthonomus grandis grandis, 1031 nucleotides. RefSeq lists it as uncharacterized. NCBI's taxonomy places the organism in Eukaryota, Metazoa, Arthropoda, Insecta, Coleoptera, Curculionidae. The transcript has 4 exons. The record is from RefSeq and is a predicted model, not a curated record.
UUUGCAUAAUUCUGACUCACGUUGGUUGCUAUCGGGCUUAAGCCAUAAAAAUCGAAGAAAAAAAGAAGAAGAUGAAGAGACUUUCACUUGUCAUUUCAAUGUCACUUUCCGGCCCACAAGCAUAAACGCCACCGGCAACGGAAGUUCCCAAAAUCCAAACAAAUGUUGGAAGAUAUUUUUAAGUUUCCACAUCUUUCUUACUUUCCUAUAUGAAAAUAAAAUUGGACUACACCAACAAAGGUUAUGUGUUUUGCACCAGAUUGAAAGCAUCAUAGCGAAAAACGGACCUGUCAUAUCUUUAAAUUUUCAAAAGAGCCCCUGGAAAAAGAAAAAUGAAUAUCUUUGCCAAGGAAUAGGUACUAAGGCAAAUGGAUAAAAAACCUUCAGUCCAUGCAUUGGUAUGUAAUUGUUGACAAAAAUACAAUGAAUGGCCUCACUACUUUUCCACAUGCAAAGAGGUUAACCAAGGAGAAAUUAAAGAAAUUGUCAAAAACCUAGGUAAAUACAGAAUUGCUUAGUACAAACAUAUCUAUACCCAGUACAAGUUCGUCCACUUCUUUGAAGCAUGGUACUUCAAACAGAGACACUGUCAACAAUUUUGUAGAAGGUGAGCCGGUGUCAAAUUCCAGUAAGGGACAUGAUUUCAAUUUUGCACCAACAGCAGAGCUAAAAUUCAUUUUGUCGCAAAAAACUGGAGGAUGUGAAAGAAAAAAGUGCAGAAGUUAAAAUUAAGUUUUUCAUAUGAGCACAUAAAAAAUAAUCAUGACAAAGUUCAGUUGUAUACAGGUUUGACAUGUAAUAAAUAUUUUUGUAAUCUUAUUAAGUUAAUUAGUUUUAUAUAUUAUUUAAAUAAUAAUUGUAUACUUCACAUAGAAUAUGCAGAAAUUAUAUGUACAUAUAUAAAUUUUUUUAUUAAGAUAAGGACAACAUGUAUUAAAGCAUAACACAUAAUAUAAACACACACGUAAUAUCUUCAUUAAAAAUUCUGAUUGUAUGUUAUGUAGCAUUAGAGCCUAAAAACAUUAAGGAGA